AUUCUCUAUCUCAGUCUUGGUUCAUGUCUACCCCUCUUACCAAUAGGUGUUCCCACUCCGUAACCUUUGGAGUCAAUGAGGCCCCCGAUCUGAGUGAGGUUGCAGUUUCUCUGCGUCACAUACUCAAUGCUGGUGGACUCCAUCAGCAGCGCGUAGUCUGUGGUGAGCACUCUCUGGAUCCCCUCAUCACUGUUUCUUACCAGGGCGGUCUGCUGCCUGCUGCUCAUGAAAGCCCACAUCUUCUCAUAGGUGGAGAUUUUUGAUUUCUGGAGGGAAAGAAAACACACUCACCAGCAGAAGAGGGCUGGAAAAAUACGACCUAAAGAUCAUCUGCCGAAUCUAUGGGGGAUUCCAUUCUCUCUACUGUCAAGAAGGCAGCCAGAUUGGCCGUGUAGGAUGAAAUGAUGAUUAGGGUGAAAAACCACCAUAUCCCUCCAACUAUUCUGGUCGAUAGAGCUUUGGGCAUCAGCUCUGAUCCUGUGAUGGUAUCAUCAGAGUAAGGGUGUUAAACACAGUCAGAAGGAAAGGGAAGAUGUACAGUUCGAC
Molecule: long non-coding RNA, 546 nt
Filed under: Pan troglodytes (chimpanzee)
Lineage: Eukaryota; Metazoa; Chordata; Mammalia; Primates; Hominidae
Description: long non-coding RNA NONPTRT009372
Source: RNAcentral